Molecule: non-coding RNA, 232 nt
Organism: Paramuricea clavata
Lineage: Eukaryota; Metazoa; Cnidaria; Anthozoa; Malacalcyonacea; Plexauridae
Source: the annotation of a GenBank genome assembly
GAGAUUUUACAGAAUUCUGAUGGUCAGAAAACGACAUUGUAACAUAUCAGAGGCCCUGGCCAAUGUAUUUGCUCUACAGCCUGAGCCUGGGGGCCCCCAUUUGGCCCAUUGGGGUUGGGGGCCCCCGGGUUCUCCCGGUCUGAGCCCAUAGUAGUUACGCCACUGCAUUAAGGUUUUUUGUAAUGAAACGUAUACGUACUUAAAUAAAGUUAAAGAAAGCAACUAAUUAAAG